RNAcentral lists this long non-coding RNA (900 nucleotides) under Homo sapiens (human). Its description in RNAcentral is "HSALNT0317566". Lineage: Eukaryota; Metazoa; Chordata; Mammalia; Primates; Hominidae. The record is from RNAcentral.
GGAACUGGGCUUAAACUCCUGGACUCCCGCCUCAGCCUCCCAAAGUGCUGGGAUUACAGGCGCCCGGCCUCAGGGCCCUUUUCUUAGAGGGAGUGGAGAACUGGCCCAGGUGGGGGAGUAAGACAAGCUGCCACCUAGCCAGGCUGUGCCUGGCUGCCGUGCCUGAAGAGCCCACCGUGGAUUCUCUCCAUGCGGGUCGGGCAGCAGCCCAGGGACUGACCAGAGAGGAAGAGCAGGAUCCCAGAGGAAGGACUGAAAUCUCUUCGAAGCCAGACACAGCAUCUUGUACUGUGGACAGUGAAAGCAUUAAGAUAAGCAGCAUUCCACUGUAAAUCUUACACAAAAUGCCACAUCCACUGAUCACACGACCUUGAAAAAUGAAGAUAGGCAGCGUCGCACUUCCAAUCUUGUACUUCAGGGAAUGAACUCCAUUGCCUUUGUGUGCAGGAAGCCGGAAGCACGACCACUCUUUACCCUCGGCCUCAUUACAAGACCAAGACCUCUGCCUCGGCGCGGCAGCUCUCACCUGGAAUCCCAGCACUUUGGGAGGCCGAAGCGGACGGAUCACCUGAGGUGUCAGGAGUUUGAGACCAGCCUGGCCAACAAGGGACGCUCACCUACCUCAUGAAUUACGCGUGUCGCCCUCCUCGAGACGCCACAACGCAGUCCCCUGGGGAGCCAGCCGGAGACCUCUCCCUGCGGUGCUGUCUCCCCCGUGGUGGAACGGAAGCCCCUAAUAAAGCCUUGUCUGGGAAAUUUGCUUGGCCUCGUGUCAAUUUUUAUCGGAGCCUAAAGAACCUGUGGUCAGUAACACGAUCAUUUCAGUUAUCACUUAAGUUUUGGCUUCCUUAAUAUGAGAGUCAGUUUUGAAAAAUCAAAAAAGAGGCUGGGCGCCGUGGC